GCCGGUAUAGCUCAGUUGGUAGAGCACCUGAUUUGUAAUCAGGGGGUCGCGGGUUCGACCCCUGCUGCCGGCACCA
RNAcentral lists this transfer RNA (76 nucleotides) under Devosia limi DSM 17137. RNAcentral describes it as "tRNA_Thr_TGT". It matches the Rfam family "tRNA". From Rfam's summary of the family: Transfer RNA (tRNA) molecules are approximately 80 nucleotides in length. Their secondary structure includes four short double-helical elements and three loops (D, anti-codon, and T loops). Further hydrogen bonds mediate the characteristic L-shaped molecular structure. tRNAs have two regions of fundamental functional importance: the anti-codon, which is responsible for specific mRNA codon recognition, and the 3' end, to which the tRNAs corresponding amino acid is attached (by aminoacyl-tRNA synthetases). tRNAs cope with the degeneracy of the genetic code in two manners: having more than one tRNA (with a specific anti-codon) for a particular amino acid; and 'wobble' base-pairing, i.e. permitting non-standard base-pairing at the 3rd anti-codon position. RNAcentral also lists the same sequence under 2 other names. The record is from RNAcentral. Lineage: Bacteria; Pseudomonadati; Pseudomonadota; Alphaproteobacteria; Hyphomicrobiales; Devosiaceae.